AUUGAACGCUGGCGGCAGGCCUAACACAUGCAAGUCGAACGAGUGGCGGACGGGUGAGUAAUGUCUGGGAAACUGCCUGAUGGAGGGGGAUAACUACUGGAAACGGUAGCUAAUACCGCAUACCAUCAGAUGUGCCCAGAUGGGAUUAGCUAGUGGGUGGGGUAACGGCUCACCAAGGCGACGAUCCCUAGCUGGUCUGAGAGGAUGACCAGCCACACGGGAACUGAGACACGGUCCAGACUCCUACGGGAGGCAGCAGUGGGGAAUAUUGCACAAUGGGCGCAAGCCUGAUGGAGCCAUGCCGCGUGAGUGAAGAAGGCCUUCGGAUUGUAAAGUACUUUCAGCAGGGAAGCGGUACCCAAAGAGGAAGCAACGGCUAACUCCGUGCCAGCCGCCGCGGUAAUUC
Molecule: ribosomal RNA, 406 nt
Filed under: uncultured bacterium
Lineage: Bacteria
Description: partial 16S ribosomal RNA
Rfam family: Bacterial small subunit ribosomal RNA
Source: RNAcentral